UUCCGGUUGAUCCCGCCAGAGGCUACUGCUAUCGGGGUCCGACUAAGCCAUGCGAGUUGAGAGGGGUAAGCCCUCGGCAUAUUGCUCAGUAACACGCGGAUAACCUGCCCUUGGGUUUGGGAUAACCCCGGGAAACUGGGACUAAUACCGGAUAGAUCAAAGAAACUGGAAUGUUCUCUGAUCGAAAGCUCCGGCGCCCAAGGAUGGGUCUGCGGCCUAUCAGGUAGUAGUGGGUGUAACGUACCUACUAGCCUACGACGGGUAAGGGUUGUGAGAGCAAGAGCCCUGAGAUGGAUUCUGAGACAUGAAUCCAGGCCCUACGGGGUGCAGCAGGCGCGAAAACUUUACACUGCGGGAAACCGCGAUAAGGGGACCCCGAGUGCCAGCACCUAGUGCUGGCUGUCCAGCUGUUCAAAUAACAGUUGUUAGCAAGGGCCGGGCAAGACCGGUGCCAGCCGCCGCGGUAACACCGGCGGCCCGAGUGGUAGCCGUUAUUAUUGGGUUUAAAGGGUCCGUAGCCGGCCUAUUAAGUCUCUUGGGAAAUCUGGCGACUCAAUCGUCAGGCGUUCAAGAGAUACUGGUAGGCUUGGGACCGGGAGAGGUGGGAGGUACUCCAGGGGUAGGGGUGAAAUCUCGUAAUCCUUGGGGGACCACCGAUGGCGAAGGCAUCCCACCAGAACGGGUCCGACGGUGAGGGACGAAAGCUGGGGGCACGAACCGGAUUAGAUACCCGGGUAGUCCCAGCCGUAAACGAUGCUCGCUAGGUGUCAGGUGCGGUGCGACCGCAUCUGGUGCCGCAGUGAAAACUUGAAGCGAGUCACCUGGGAAGUACGGUCGCAAGGCUGAAACUUAAAGGAAUUGGCGGGGGAGCACUACAACGGGUGGAGCCUGCGGUUCAAUUGGAGUCAACGCCGGG
This 916-nucleotide ribosomal RNA is filed under the name uncultured archaeon. RNAcentral describes it as "bacterial SSU rRNA". It matches the Rfam family "Archaeal small subunit ribosomal RNA", at positions 1 to 922 of the family's 1478-position model. The record is from RNAcentral.